UACGUUGUCAUAAUUGUUAGAAAAUAAUGUUAAGGGGAAAUAUGCUUCAUUAUUUAAAACUUUUAUGCCUAAUUCUUUGUGCAAUGUGAUGAAUUGUACGUUCAUAUGUAACUGUUUUUAGGGUUGGGUUUUUACAUUUUUACAGACACUUCCAUGUAUGAAUAAUUAGUUUAAAGAGGACUAAAUCUGCUGAAAAUGAAGGUGAUUUCUUACAAUAUUAUAUCCAAGAAUCUGAAAUUAAUAAGAAUAAGAACUGAUUGGGAGAUAUUAGUGAUCAUUAGCACAUGUUUUGAAGUCAAAUGUUUGUUGAUGAGAUAAAUUCCCCUUAUUUAAGUAUCUUUAAGUAUCUCAAAAACUCAACUCUUGUGAAUCAGUUAAUUAAGGAAAAUCCAUUGGUUUAAUUGAUCACUCAACCCCAUGCUGCUCUAAUCUAAUCAUGUGUAAAGGGCAAAAGAGUCAGCUUGUAUGUUGUACAGUCAGGGGUCAUGAAUGAACAUUAUCUGACAAGCUGCAUAAAGAUAUUAGCUCUCAAUCAUGAAACAGGAUAGAUAGAUCAAUCUGAAAGUGUUAGAAUACAUCUAACAUUAAAAGUUACCAAAUAAAGAGAGAAAAUCACAGAGAAUUACCUUAUAUCAUGAUCUUAAAAUGCUCAGUUUUUAUUGAGACUACCUUUUUACUAGUUUUUGUUUUGAGUCUGCUCUUUGGUCAAUUUUGAGGCUGCACUUUGUCGUACUGUUGGAAUAGAUUGUAUUAUAUAUAUUAUUAAUGUUGUUUCUAGUUUUUUGUUAUUGAACCUAGGAGGAGCAGAACCUUUAGAAUACACUGCAGUCCAACACAACAAUAACAACAACAGCACAAACUACCAACUCAAAAGCAAGUCGAAUCAACAUAUGCAGUUAAACUGAUGUUCCUACAGAAGGUAUUAAUACAGAUAAAGUACAACAUUUUGGAUAUUUUUUUAAAUCAAAUUACAUGAGGCACAAACGUAUCACUAACUCUCUGUGGGUUCAAACUUUCCAUCAUGUUGCAUUUGUAGCAGAAUAACAAGACUCUAAAGUACCAUGAACUUCCACCAGAGGGCAGGGAUUGAUUGGUUAUUGUUCAUGUAUUGACAUGAUGCAUGGUUUAAACAGAUAUUUACUCAGUUUAAUAGCUGUUUCACAAAGGCUAUAUUUGAGCCUGAACACAAAAUGGAUCAUUGAAAAAUGAUUCAUGCUGAUUUAACCUUAGCUAAUUUAUUUUAGUUAAAUCUCAAACUCUAAUAAAUUCUCAGUAGGCAAAUGUAUACCCUGGAGACAAAAAGCAUUACUAUUUGGCACGGUUAUUGCAAAAGAUCAGGUUCAUUAUUUGAAGCAUAUAUGCACUCUCAAUAUUUAGACGAGCAAAGAUAAAUCUACAAAUGCUGCUUUUGUUUUCCUGACAAUACAACCUGGAUUUGGGUUAUUUUUUCCUUUGUAUGUUUUUGUUAUUUGUUUAUUUUUUGUUUGUUUAUGUGGCUACUGUCUUGUAUAAAAAUCACAUAAAUAAAAUACCUUAAAAAGACUAAGAGUCUACAUCCAUUGUCUAUAAUACUUCUCAAUAAUACUUAGGCACUUGUUCUUAGUUUAGGGAUCACCAAUGUUAUAUUUUUAUCC
Lates calcarifer (barramundi perch) is the source of this 1634-nucleotide long non-coding RNA. RefSeq lists it as uncharacterized. The transcript is spliced from 2 exons. NCBI's taxonomy places the organism in Eukaryota, Metazoa, Chordata, Actinopteri, Centropomidae. The record is from RefSeq and is a predicted model, not a curated record.